Molecule: unclassified non-coding RNA, 390 nt
Filed under: soil metagenome
Description: partial contains 5.8S ribosomal RNA, internal transcribed spacer 2, and large subunit ribosomal RNA
Rfam family: 5.8S ribosomal RNA (bases 1-121)
Source: RNAcentral
GAUGAAGAACGUAGCGAAAUGCGAUACUUGGUGUGAAUUCAGAAUCCCGUGAACCAUCGAGUCUUUGAACGCAAGUUGCGCCCGAAGCCACUAGGCCGAGGGCACGCCUGCCUGGGCGUCACACGCCGUUGCCCCCCCAUCUACUCCUUCGGGAUUGCGGGGGGGCGGAUGAUGGCCUCCUGUGCGCCUAGCCGCGCGGUUGGCAUAAAUACCAAGUCCUCGGCGACGCACGCCACGACAAUCGGUGGUUGCGAAACCUCGGUUGCCCGUCGUGUGCGUUCGUCGCGCAUCGAGGGCUCGAAAAAAUGCUCGGCUCCGGCUGGGCUUUCAACGCGACCCCAGGUCAGGCGGGGUUACCCGCUGAAUUUAAGCAUAUCAAUAAGCGGAGGA